AAUAAAAGGAUGUGGGAGUUUGAGACCCAUCUCUGCUGUGUGGCCCUGGCCAUGUGCAGUGGGUAAGUACAUCAGCAAGAAAUCUGGCCUCAAGAAUCCCACCCUAUCCUGGGCAUCUGGGGUUGAGGCUGGCUGUGCCAACCUUUACACAGGGUUUCAAUCUGACCUCAAGCAGAAAACGGAGCCACCUGCUUAGAGUCCCUCUCUCUGAACACGCUCUCCCCUCUGGAGGAAAAGCAUCGCAAUCCCAAGCUCCUGCUGCUGCCGUACAUCUGCAUCUUAUUCAUCUUUGUAGCUCCUACAAUGCCUCCAACGGGGCCACAACUAAAGGAAGUGCUCAGAAUGCCCAGCUAUCCCCACUGCAGAAGGCGCUCCCUGGAAGGGCACAGGUGGAGGAUGUUCGCGUUUAUCUGGAGAUAGUUCAUGGAGAAACACAAAGAGGUGUCCUGACAAGACAACAGGUCCACAGCAGUCGUCAUAAUGAGCGCUCACCUAUGCCAGGGAUCAUCUUUUCAAAUCCUUAACCAAGCAACCAAACUGUGGUUGGGAUUAUUCUCUUUUUAUAGGUGAGAAAACUGAGGCCGAAAGCGACUGGGUUGUUUGCCAAAGUUGGGAAGUAGCUGAGCUGGGGUUUGUACUCACGCCGUGGUGACUCGGAAGCCCAAGCCCGUUCUGACACACUGCCUUCCCGUGACAUUCCCACGACGGGUUCCCGAGGUCGUUGGAAUGCUUACACAUUUCAGCAACUUCGUGGCAACUGCCCAGCUCAACCCAGAAGAUAAUACUACCUUGUACUCCCCCUGCCGCUUCCUUCCGCCAGGCAGCCCACAGACAUGACCUCAUUCCCUUUCCCAGAGUCCCAUAGGGGUGAAGGACGGGGUGGGGAUCGUUCACUCUGCUACUAGGGAAGGAAGGGAGGCUCAGAGAGGGACGCUGGCCCACCCUGGGUCAUCCAGCCAGCAAGUGGGAGAGCUGCAACUGGAAAUCAGGCUUCCCUGCCCUGGGGGACAGUUAUUUAGCCUGCUGGAUGUGAGCUAGAAUCACCCCUGAGAUGCAGCAAUUGGGGUACUCCUCUUGGGGUACUGGGACUCAGUGGCUGAAACAACUCCAAGAGAGUUGGGCCUCUGCUGAAAACAGAAAUCUGAGAUGCAUAUAAAUUCAAUCCGUAUGAAAAGAGCAGGGUGGCCUGGGAGGAGCGGCCACCACAGUGGCUCCGCCUUCUGCCCAGCCGCCCGCAGCCCUGCCUGGGUUGCUCUUGGUCUCUCUGUGCCCAGCUUCUCUGGCCAGAUGCCCUGGGGGCCAGAGCAGCCGCCAUGUGAUGGAAAGAACAUUGGCCUUGAGGUCAUGGGACCUGGGGGGGAUAUUCACCAGGGGCCCCUAAGUUAGUCAUGUUAGCUCUCAGCUUUUCCAUUUUUCAUUCAAAAAAUGGGGACUCUAACUCCGUGAAAGAGACAUUGUGUGUGAAAUAUUUCAUCAUAAGCCGUGAAGCCUGCAAGGAGAGAAACUCCUGGUGUUCUCUGUAGCCUGAUUUCAUCUCUACUAAACACUAUUUUG
Long non-coding RNA from Mandrillus leucophaeus (drill), 1554 nucleotides. RefSeq lists it as uncharacterized. The record is from RefSeq and is a predicted model, not a curated record. The transcript has 3 exons. Lineage: Eukaryota; Metazoa; Chordata; Mammalia; Primates; Cercopithecidae.